Molecule: long non-coding RNA, 215 nt
Filed under: Phoenix dactylifera (date palm)
Lineage: Eukaryota; Viridiplantae; Streptophyta; Magnoliopsida; Arecales; Arecaceae
Description: long non-coding RNA (PDAC_LNC006961)
Source: RNAcentral
GCAUAUGCAUUUUUGAGAGCUUCCCAUACUGCAUGGGCUAUGUCUAAGCCAACAACGAGUCCGAGUGUUCCUUCAGAAAGUCUUCUAUUAAUUUUGGAACAAAAGUUUCUGUAACCGUGGUGUUGUUUGGAUUCGGUGUGGUGUAUUUGGUAGAGGCAGGAUCUUCAUUGGUGAGGUGACCAAUUAACUCUUGGCUUUCUGCAAAAGCCAAGGCU